Molecule: long non-coding RNA, 521 nt
Filed under: Lepidothrix coronata (blue-crowned manakin)
Lineage: Eukaryota; Metazoa; Chordata; Aves; Passeriformes; Pipridae
Description: lncRNA (ENSLCOG00000003824.1)
Source: RNAcentral
CUGCCUUUUUUGCUGCAGUGAACAAUAAGCCAAAAUGACCAGAACAAAAAUGAACCCUCUGUAGAUUGUAUUUGGGUGGAGGUUCAUGUUGCUGUUGAAAUUUGGAUUGUUUAUAUGUUUUUUGUCAAAUAUCUUUCAGCGGAGCAGCAUUUUUUAGCUGUUUCUGACAAUCUUGGAGUACUGCAUGUUUUGGAAAUCUGUCAAACACUAAGUCAUCCUUCGAGUAAUGAGCAUGCCAAUGUACUUGAUUUCUUUGAAAGAGAAGUCAAAUACCUGAAGUACUGUGAACAAGAGUUUCAAGAGUAUCAAAAGUUUCAAGCCAAAACAGAACUGAAAUGGAGCUGGAGGCACAGAGAGAGAAAACAAGUAUGACUACUCUAUAGAAAACAAGAGAUGGAGGAGCAAGAAGACUGUGUUUCUGGACCUGGAGAAGCAGAUAAUAUUGGAUUUAGAGACAAGAAACACUUCCCUCACUGGAUACUUAGAGCCCAUUAUCACCUUUAGAACCAGUGAGCUUUUUA